UGGCUUAAUUCGAUGCAACGCGAAGAACCUUACCAGGCCUUGACAUGCACUGGACCGACGCUGAAAGGUGUCCUUCUCGCAAGAGACCGGUGCACAGGUGCUGCAUGGCUGUCGUCAGCUCGUGUCGUGAGAUGUUGCGUUAAGUCGCGCAACGAGCGCAACCCCUGUCCUUAGUUGCCAUCAUUAAGUUGGGCACUCUAGGGAGACAAACCCUCUCUGAGGGUG
This 225-nucleotide ribosomal RNA is filed under the name uncultured bacterium. RNAcentral describes it as "partial 16S ribosomal RNA". It matches the Rfam family "Bacterial small subunit ribosomal RNA", at positions 942 to 1167 of the family's 1533-position model. The record is from RNAcentral.